Molecule: ribosomal RNA, 576 nt
Filed under: Triticum aestivum (bread wheat)
Lineage: Eukaryota; Viridiplantae; Streptophyta; Magnoliopsida; Poales; Poaceae
Description: partial small subunit ribosomal RNA
Source: RNAcentral
AUGAAAGACCUCGGUGAAGCUGCUUAUAUAUUAGGCAUCAAGAUCUAUAGAGAUAGAUCGAGACACUUAAUUGGACUUUCACAAAGCACAUACCUUGAUAAAGUUUUGAAGAAGUUCAAAAUGGAUCAAGCAAAGAAAGGGUUCUUGCCUGUGUUACAAGGUGUGAAGUUGAGUCAGACUCAAUGCCCGACCACUGCAGAAGAUAGAGAGAAAAUGAAAGGUGUUCCCUAUGCUUCAGCCAUAGGCUCUAUCAUGUAUGCAAUUUUGUGUACCAGACCUGAUGUGUGCCUUGCUAUUAGUUUAGCAGGGAGGUACCAAAGUAAUCCAGGAGUGGAUCACUGGACAAUGGUCAAGAACAUCCUGAAAUACCUGAAAAGGACUAAGGAUAUGUUUCUCGUUUAUGGAGGUGACAAAGAGCUCGUCGUAAAUGGUUACGUCGAUGCAAGCUUUGACACUGAUAUGGAUGACUCUAAGUCACAAACCGGAUAUGUGUUUAUAUGGAACGGUGGAGCUGUCAGUUGGAGCAGUUCUAAGAAAAGCGUCAUGGCGGGAUCUACAUGUGAAGCGGAGUACAUA